GCCUAUAUGAAGUCGGAAUUGCUAGUAAUCGCAGAUCAGCAUGCUGCGGUGAAUACGUUCCCGGGCCUUGUACACACCGCCCGUCACACCAUGAGAGUCGAUAACACCCGAAGCCUGUAGUCUAACCAUAAGGAGGACGCAGUCGAAGGUGGGAUUGAUAAUUAGGGUGAAGUCGUAACAAGGUAAC
Molecule: ribosomal RNA, 187 nt
Filed under: uncultured bacterium
Lineage: Bacteria
Description: partial 16S ribosomal RNA
Rfam family: Bacterial small subunit ribosomal RNA
Source: RNAcentral